Molecule: ribosomal RNA, 478 nt
Filed under: uncultured bacterium
Lineage: Bacteria
Description: bacterial LSU rRNA
Rfam family: Bacterial large subunit ribosomal RNA
Source: RNAcentral
UCGGGGACCGUGCAUGGUAGGCAGUUUGACUGGGGCGGUCUCCUCCCAAAGUAGUAACGGAGGAGCUCGAAGGUCGCCUAGGUACGGUCGGACAUCGUACUGAUAGUGUAAUGGCAUAAGGCGGCUUAACUGCGAGACCGACAAGUCGAGCAGGUGCGAAAGCAGGACAUAGUGAUCCGGUGGUUCUGUAUGGAAGGGCCAUCGCUCAACGGAUAAAAGGUAACUCCGGGGAUAACAGGCUGAUACCGCCCAAGAGUUCACAUCGACGGCGGUGUUUGGCACCUCGAUGUCGGCUCAUCACAUCCUGGGGCUGUAGCCGGUCCCAAGGGUAUGGCUGUUCGCCAUUUAAAGUGGUACGUGAGCUGGGUUUAAAACGUCGUGAGACAGUUUGGUCCCUAUCUGCAGUGGGCGUUGGAAGUUUGAGGGGGGCUGCUCCUAGUACGAGAGGACCGGAGUGGACGAACCUCUGGUGUACCGG